GACGAACGCUGGCGGCGUGCUUAACACAUGCAAGUCGAACGGAAAGGCCCUGCUUUUGUGGGGUGCUCGAGUGGCGAACGGGUGAGUAACACGUGAGUAACCUGCCCUUGACUUUGGGAUAACUUCAGGAAACUGGGGCUAAUACCGGAUAGGAGCUCCUGCUGCAUGGUGGGGGUUGGAAAGUUUCGGCUGUUGGGGAUGGACUCGCGGGUUAUCAGCUUGUUGGUGGGGUAGUGGCUUACCAAGGCUUUGGAGGGUAGGCGGCCUGGGAGGGGGACCGGGGACAUUGGGCCUGAGAGAGGGACCAGACUCGAACGGGGGGCAGCAGUGGGGAAUAUUGCACAAUGGGCGGAAGCCUGAUGCAGCGACGCCGCGUGCGGGAUGACGGCCUUCGGGGUGUAAACCGCUUUCGCCUGUGACGAAGCGUGAGUGACGGUAAUGGGUGAAGAAGCACCGGCUAACUACGUG
This 468-nucleotide ribosomal RNA is filed under the name uncultured bacterium. Its description in RNAcentral is "partial 16S ribosomal RNA". It matches the Rfam family "Bacterial small subunit ribosomal RNA", at positions 28 to 507 of the family's 1533-position model. The record is from RNAcentral.